Molecule: long non-coding RNA, 270 nt
Filed under: Ananas comosus (pineapple)
Lineage: Eukaryota; Viridiplantae; Streptophyta; Magnoliopsida; Poales; Bromeliaceae
Description: long non-coding RNA (ACOM_LNC041735)
Source: RNAcentral
UUCGGCUCGUUGACACCCCUAGCUACUCGCUUCGUUCAUUUCUUUUUAGAAAUAAAUUUAUUUAAAAAUGUGAAUCAAUUAGGAUUCGAACUUGGGACCUCAGAUACCAACCACCAAGCCCUUUGCCACUUGCAUUAAGGAUAGUCGUUUAUAUAUAUUUAAUUUUUUAAAUUUUUAAAUUUUAAGUUUAAAAUUUUAAAAAUUUUAAAAUUUUAAAUUUUAAAUUCUAAAUUUAGAUAUUAAAUUUAAAGUUUUAAUUUUCAAAUAUCA